UUUGUUCUUCGCCAAAUAAAAUUUAGGUCUAGCUUUCUCUCUCUUUCAGACACCUCUUCGACUUCUUCCUCAACUUAAUCUUUUCGUUUAUUCAUCUAUUUCUUCAUCUUCUUCACCCCUUAUUCUUUAUUUCUUGUCCUCUCCCAAAUUUUUUUUUUUCAGAUCUUUCUUUCUUUUUCCAGAUCUCGUUGCUGCUCAUGCUCUAACGAGUAACGCCGGAGCUGUAUUUCUGGUUCUCCUACGGUUGUGAGGGUCUGAGGGAUCUCCUAUUACCGUGUCGUUGUCGUGCUUGUCGCCUUUGUCCGCUUCGGCCUCAUCACUGUCUCCUAGAUCUGUCGCCGUUUACAUAUCUCAUCCAAUUAGUCUUUUCUGAAUUCUUAUUAGUGUUUGAGAUUUUGAUUUAGGGUUCACCGAUUUGUGGUUUCAUCCACAAACUCUAAUGGGUUUGUUAAUUUUUCGUGUUAAUUUUUUUUCUAAUUCGAUUUAGUUGAGCCACGAUGAUGCUUAGUACGUCUUUGGUUCGAUCUUUGAAGGAAUUGAUGGACUCAGUGAUGAAAGGGGGGAUAGUUGGGAACAAAUACAAUUUUCUUCGACGGAGUGUUGGAUCUGAGGCUCCUGGACGGUAGAAGGGAGGAAUUUGUAAAGGGAGGAAUUUGUAACGGUGAGGAAUCGAGUUGAGGUGAAAUCAGAUUCGAGGUUAGGGUUUAAUCUUUCUACUUGUUUGGGUGAAAUCAGAUUCGCUAAGAAGCUAAGUAUUGUAUCUAACAUUGAUGUUUUUUCGUUUGAUGUGAUUCCUAAGUACGUUGGAUAUUGUUACUCCUGAAUAGAAGCCAAAAUUUGAUGCUAUGGUGAGCAAAUUGAUGAGAAACUCGAUUGCCUAUGUUUGUUUUCGUUUAAGUUUCUCUUCUAUAAGAUCUUUCAGGUGAAGUAACUUUAAAAAUAGAGUUAGGAGAGGAGAAUAUGGGGACAGAACAAAGGUUUACAUCCAUGAGAUACAAGAAUAAGUCAUUGUGAUCUUAUACAGCAUAUUAAAAAGUACAUGUUCCGUUUGUGGAAUUUGUGGUUUGUGUACAAUUGUCCAUAAUAGAAGUACCUCUCGUGGUUGGUAACAACAUUACAUUAUAAAAGAAAGUAUGGGAGACUCUGAAGGAGAAGAGAAAGAAAAUAUAAGAUGAAAAGCUAGUGAGGGUCGAGGAUAAGAGAUGUUGGCUAGCCUUGUAAAUUAAAAUGGUGUUUAACAUUAUGUGUCUACAAAUUUUGUAAUUUAAAUUUGGUUUAUGAAUGGAAUUUGUAAUACAAGUUUCAAUUUUGUCAAUAUAAAUUGAAGCUUUUGGAAUU
This is a long non-coding RNA of Arabidopsis lyrata subsp. lyrata, 1338 nucleotides long. RefSeq lists it as uncharacterized. Lineage: Eukaryota; Viridiplantae; Streptophyta; Magnoliopsida; Brassicales; Brassicaceae. The record is from RefSeq and is a predicted model, not a curated record. The transcript is spliced from 2 exons.